CGGUAGCUCAGGUGGUAGAGCAACUGACUUUUAAUCAGUGGGUCGAGAGUUCGAGUCUCUUCCG
Molecule: transfer RNA, 64 nt
Filed under: uncultured Bulleidia sp.
Lineage: Bacteria; Bacillati; Bacillota; Erysipelotrichia; Erysipelotrichales; Erysipelotrichaceae
Rfam family: tRNA
About the family: Transfer RNA (tRNA) molecules are approximately 80 nucleotides in length. Their secondary structure includes four short double-helical elements and three loops (D, anti-codon, and T loops).
Source: RNAcentral